This 334-nucleotide small nuclear RNA is filed under the name Heterocephalus glaber (naked mole-rat). RNAcentral describes it as "7SK RNA". It matches the Rfam family "7SK RNA". From Rfam's summary of the family: 7SK was discovered as an abundant small nuclear RNA in the mid-70s but a possible function has only recently been suggested. Two independent studies have found that 7SK RNA binds the CDK9/cyclin T complex (known as elongation factor P-TEFb). Lineage: Eukaryota; Metazoa; Chordata; Mammalia; Rodentia; Bathyergidae. The record is from Rfam by way of RNAcentral.
GGAUGUGAGGGUGAUCUGGCUGUAACAUGUCACCCCAUUGAUCGCCAGGGUUGAUUAGGCUGAUCUGGCUAGCUAGGUGGGUGACCCCUUUCUCCCUCACCGCUCCAUGUGCAUCCCUCCCAAAGUUGCACACUUGGUUGAAGAGGAUGACCAUCCCCAAUAGAGGAGGACCAUUUCCUCGGUCAAGGGUAUACAAGUAACUGUGCUACUCUGCUAGAAACUCUAUGCAAGCUCUCAAGAUAAGGAUCUUCCUAAAUCUUCACAUAAUAUAGCAUGACUCUAGCACAUCCUCCAAGUAACAAAGCUCCUAAUGACUUGGCCUGAGCCAGCCUCU